UACGAAGGGGGCUAGCGUUGCUCGGAAUCACUGGGCGUAAAGCGCACGUAGGCGGAUUGUUAAGUCAGGGGUGAAAUCCUGGAGCUCAACUCCAGAACUGCCUUUGAUACUGGCGAUCUUGAGUCCGGGAGAGGUGAGUGGAACUGCGAGUGUAGAGGUGAAAUUCGUAGAUAUUCGCAAGAACACCAGUGGCGAAGGCGGCUCACUGGCCCGGUAUUGACGCUGAGGUGCGAAAGCGUGGGGAGCAAACAGG
This 253-nucleotide ribosomal RNA is filed under the name uncultured bacterium. RNAcentral describes it as "partial 16S ribosomal RNA". It matches the Rfam family "Bacterial small subunit ribosomal RNA", at positions 524 to 776 of the family's 1533-position model. The record is from RNAcentral.